Molecule: ribosomal RNA, 180 nt
Filed under: uncultured bacterium
Lineage: Bacteria
Description: partial 16S ribosomal RNA
Rfam family: Bacterial small subunit ribosomal RNA
Source: RNAcentral
AUGAAGCCGGAAUUGCUAGUAAUGGCAGGUCAGCAUACUGCCGUGAAUACGUUCCCGGGCCUUGUACACACCGCCCGUCACACCAUGAGAGUCGGGAAUACCCGAAGCCUGUGAGCUAACUUUUAGAGGCAGCAGUCGAAGGUAGAAUCAAUGAUUGGGGUGAAGUCGUAACAAGGUAGC